Molecule: ribosomal RNA, 907 nt
Filed under: uncultured bacterium
Lineage: Bacteria
Description: bacterial SSU rRNA
Rfam family: Bacterial small subunit ribosomal RNA
Source: RNAcentral
AGAGUUUGAUCAUGGCUCAGGAUAAACGCUGGCGGCGUGCCUAAUACAUGCAAGUCGAUCGCUGGAGCUCAAGCUUGCUUGAGUGAAGGAGAGGCGAACGGGUGAGUAAUACAUAAGCAACCUGCCCACGAAGACUGGGAUAAUCUCUGGAAACGGGGACUAAUACCGGAUAGGUGACAAGAUCGCAUGAUCAUGUCAUUAAAGAUUCAAAGCACUGGUGGAUGGGCUUAUGGCGCAUUAGCUGGUUGGUGAGGUAACGGCCCACCAAGGCGAUGAUGCGUAGCCGGCCUGAGAGGGUGAACGGCCACAUUGGGACUGAGACACGGCCCAGACUCCUACGGGAGGCAGCAGUAGGGAAUUUUCGGCAAUGGGCGCAAGCCUGACCGAGCAACGCCGCGUGAGUGAAGACGGCCUUCGGGUUGUAAAGCUCUGUUGCAAGGGAAGAACACAUCUGAGAGAAUCAGGUGCUGACGGUACCUUACCAGAAAGCCACGGCUAACUACGUGCCAGCAGCCGCGGUAAUACGUAGGUGGCGAGCGUUAUCCGGAAUUAUUGGGCGUAAAGGGUGCGUAGGCGGCUGGUUAAGUUUGUGGUCAAAUCGUUGGGCUCAACCCAAUCCUGCCACAGAUACUGAUCAGCUAGAGUACUGGAGAGGGAAGUGGAAUUCCAUGUGUAGCGGUAAAAUGCGUAGAUAUAUGGAGGAACACCGGAGGCGAAGGCGGCUUCCUAGACAGAGACUGACGCUCAGGCACGAAAGCGUGGGGAGCAAAUAGGAUUAGAUACCCUAGUAGUCCACGCCGUAAACGAUGAAUGCUAAGUAUUGGGGCGACUCAGUGCUGCAGUUAACGCAAUAAGCAUUCCGCCUGUGGAGUAUGCACGCAAGUGUGAAACUUAAAGGAAUUGACGG